GGUUAAGCGACUAAGCGUACACGGUGGAUGCCCUGGCAGUCAGAGGCGAUGAAGGGCGUGCUAAUCUGCGAUAAGCGCCGGUAAGGUGAUAUGAACCGUUAUAACCGGCGAUACCCGAAUGGGGAAACCCAGUGUGACUCGUCACACUAUCAUUAACUGAAUCCAUAGGUUAAUGAGGCGAACCGGGGGAACUGAAACAUCUAAGUACCCCGAGGAAAAGAAAUCAACC
This 229-nucleotide ribosomal RNA is filed under the name Salmonella enterica. Its description in RNAcentral is "partial 23S ribosomal RNA". It matches the Rfam family "Bacterial large subunit ribosomal RNA", at positions 1 to 230 of the family's 2925-position model. Lineage: Bacteria; Pseudomonadati; Pseudomonadota; Gammaproteobacteria; Enterobacterales; Enterobacteriaceae. RNAcentral also lists the same sequence under 5 other names. The record is from RNAcentral.